GUUAAAUUAACAACAGUAAAAUGUUUUCAUGUUGUUACCUUUCAAAUAGUUGUGUUGUAUUAACAUGCCUCAUGUUUUCAGGGGAAACAUGAAAAUAGGUAAACAGAUAGGAAUUUGCAUUUCAUUGUUCAUGCAUUUUUUCCCUCAUAAAAAUAGUUUCCAAAAAAAAGUGACGUGUUGUCUGUUAGGCGAUCCUGAUCAGUCUCAGGAUACUUAACUCGAAAAUACUCAAAAACACUCAAAAAUAAUUCAUGACGCUUAGCAGCAUUUUCACUCAUCCCCAAAGGUCUUUGUAAUGGUCAAAAUGUUCAAGUCACAAAAGAGAGAGAAAGUUGGUUUUCAAUAUUGGGAAUUUUUAAAGUUUAAGUCCAAAAAUAUCUCUUACUGGCUUCAACAUCUUAGAGUUUUUCGCCUCCCUGACUCUCGUCCUUUAAAGGAGUGAGUCUAAAGAAUGGGGACAUGAGGCCACUAUUUCUUCCAGCCCUGCUUUCGCUCCUCCUGCGCAGAUGCCCCUGUGUCGCUUUGCAGAGCACCACCGCAAGCCUCUCCCGCACCCAGCUCUGCUGUUUCUGCUUUCCGCAGCACGUCCCACCACGUCUUUCUCAAUCCCAUCACAAUCCUCAGCGGCACAGACGCCGCAGAGAACUGCUCCCCACCACGCGAGGUGAGCCGGCAGUGCUCCCCGCUCGCACUUGCCUGCGUCACGGGCCACGGAGAGAAGGCCACAGACCCACCUGGGGAAGCAGAUGCUGAGUGUUGUCUGUCACGAGCUCUGCUAAAACACUUUUGCCCAGAUCUUUCAUGAGAAUGGUUGGCACCAAAGGGCCGUGGCAAAGAACCUCUUGUUGAGGACCCAAACUCCCAAAUGCAGAAAAAUUAGCCCCAUGCUCUGAUGGGGUGAGCUCACUGUCCCCCACAAGGUACUGAGAAGGCCUUGCAUCUCCUCAAGUUCCAGCAAAGCUAAAUCCUUGGAAUGGCAGACCACUAGUUACCUGUAGAGUAGGAGGACACUGAUUGUUUUGAGGGGAAAAAACCCUUUCUUGUAAGAAUUCAUCAUUCAUAAGGUAAAUUGAAUGGAACCUUUUUCAGCCAUGCAGCUAUGAUAGCCUCUCCCCCCGGAAAAUGAUGCUUAUGAAUGAUGUCUGUGACAACUGGGUUGACCUACUGUCCCAGGUCUCAAGGAAACCAGAGAGUUCACGUAUCUAACCGUGGAGGUACCAGAUAUUGAGGAUAACUUGGCCAUUUACAGGCCAACUGUCUCAUAUUCGGAAUGAGAAACCAAGGGCCUUUUAGGUCCCCACACAGGGGAGUGGGGAUCGGUGGCUGCAGGUCUGCCUUUCUAAGCACCUGAGGACCCAGGAUGUGUUUCCUUUUGAUUUUUUAAACUUUCCUCUUAGUCAUCAUAGUUAAUUAUCUGAAUGGAUAUUCAGGGGUGUAAUUUUUUUUUUCCAAAUUAACAGAACAGAUAUCAGCUCGUUUUCUUUUAAACAUUAAAUGUAUAAAGUCCACCUCGUACACCAGUUAGACAUCCUUAAGGGGACAGUUAAGGCUAACAGGCCAGUCUCGGCCCCUGGAGAUGGCAGUUCGGAACCAUCUUCUUAUAAUGUCUGGUUUGGUUUUGUUUCUUGAGAAGAAAUUUUUUUUAACUUUAGCUCCCCAUUCAGGCAGCAGAGGCUUCCCCGAGCGACAGCAGUGCCCUUCCCUGGCCGGAGACGAAAACUAAAAGCCUGUGAGCCUGUAAAGGAUUUUGAGCAUUCCUUUCAGUUUUUAUAUAUUUUUAAUGUAAAACCCAUAAAUGAACUUGACGUGAUAUUCAUGACCCAUUGCAGAAAUUCGCUUGCUCUUUUUGCAUUUAUGUGUUGAAUAAAGGCUUCUCUUGUUUGUCCCGGAGCCCCAGUAGAAGCUUAAUUCCUCUGGGCUGCUGCGUGAGCGCCCGCGGAUGUCCUGGAAAAUGGCAGCACCGUUAGCUGAGUUGGUCCCUUAGGGAGACGUGUGCUAAAGACGUGUGCGAAAAAUGUCAGGAAAGCUGAAUUUUAUGUUCAAGCCAACAAGCGUUUGAGAGGGUCUUGUAUGCCUCCGAUUUUGACAUUUUUUCUUUUUUCCUGAGUACCAACUCUGUGUUUGAUUCCUGGGGUGGCAG
This is a long non-coding RNA of Equus caballus (horse), 2140 nucleotides long. NCBI's taxonomy places the organism in Eukaryota, Metazoa, Chordata, Mammalia, Perissodactyla, Equidae. The record is from Ensembl.